AGAGUUUGAUCAUGGCUCAGGAUGAACGCUAGCGGGAGGCCUAACACAUGCAAGCCGAGCGGUAUUGUUUCUUCGGAAAUGAGAGAGCGGCGUACGGGUGCGGAACACGUGUGCAACCUGCCUUUAUCUGGGGGAUAGCCUUUCGAAAGGAAGAUUAAUACUCCAUAAUAUAUUGAACGGCAUCGUUUGAUAUUGAAAGCUCCGGCGGAUAGAGAUGGGCACGCGCAAGAUUAGCUAGUUGGUGAGGUAACGGCUCACCAAGGCGAUGAUCUUAGGGGCCUGAGAGGGUGAUCCCCCACACUGGUACUGAGACGCGGACCAGACUCCUACGGGAGGCAGCAGUGAGGAAUAUUGGUCAAUGGGUGCAAGCCUGAACCAGCCAUCCCGCGUGAAGGACGACUGCCCUAUGGGUUGUAAACUUCUUUUGUAUAGGGAUAAACCUACCCUCGUGAGGGUAGCUGAAGGUACUAUACGAAUAAGCACCGGCUAACUCCGUG
RNAcentral lists this ribosomal RNA (497 nucleotides) under uncultured bacterium. RNAcentral describes it as "bacterial SSU rRNA". It matches the Rfam family "Bacterial small subunit ribosomal RNA", at positions 8 to 507 of the family's 1533-position model. The record is from RNAcentral.